GAGCCGCGCCCGCGUGUGAAGCCGCGCCCGCGUGUGAAGCCGCGCCGCGCGCUUUUGUGUAGCCGAGCCGCGUCUCCCUGUUGCAAGCCGAGCCGCGUCUCCCCCUGUUGCAAGCCGAGCCGCACGCGAAAUCCCUGUACCGAGCCGAGCCGCGUCUGCCCAAGCCGAGCCGGUCCUGUCUUCUUCCAGCCGAGCCGCCAGGACUAAAUUGGCUCCAUCCACCUAUAUUUUGGUAAGCUAAUUAAUUAUUGUGGUUUUUCCGGUAAGACUCCAUGCUCGGACGUUAGUUAAAUUAAUUUGGAUCUAAAUUAUAUUAUUUUCCUCAAGGGACGUCUUGGACCAAGAAAUUACUGCAGCGCGGGAUUUCCUUCAGUAGGGGCUCGAGCACUGCAACCUCCUUCUAGGUUAGGACUUCGUCGCUUGGAAAGCGUACUGCCUCGCGGUUAGGACUCGACAAGUAGAUCUCCAGGUAAGAGAUUCUACUACUAGUUUCAUGUUUGAAGUAUGAGACUGUGUAUGCCCUAUGUUGCAUAUUGAGAGUUUGACAGUAUGAUGCCUGAAAUAAAUGUUAGUAUGAUGCAAAUGACGAUAUAGUUGUGCUAUAGCCUGUUAUGCGUGGCAAGAUUUAUUAUGGUUACGACGAAUGUCGGGGCGGAGAGUGUAGAAAUGAUUUAUGUGACAUGUUAUAUGCUGAUGCCAUGUGUAUGUAUACUGCAAAUUAGGGUACCUGUUAGCUUGAUUCUGUUAGAGUCGUACCUGCAUGGGUGUCCUUCGGGAUCACCACCUAUUGAGGACUGUGUGGUCCGACGGGACGCCAGUCUAGCAUGAUAUAGACAUGACUCGAGUGACUCGACGGGGUCCUCGCAUCCCGACUGUCCUAGGUGUCCCCGGGCACCGAAGACCAGAGUUACGUUCCUACGGGAGCGCAUGAUUGCACGUGUUCGGGAACGUGCCAGAGAUUGGGUACCAGUUAUCAGGACUCUAACAGGAAGUUAACAGGCACCUAGUGGGACUAGUAGUGGGUCCCUUACUGAGUAUUUUUAUACUCAUUCUCUCCACUUUAUGUUUUCAGGUAGAGGACGAGGCAAAGGCAAGGGCAAGCUGGCGAGCGACCCGAAGUGAGGCCGAGGAGGGCCAUAGGGACUACCGCUUCCGCUUAUUUCUUAUUUCAGAUUUUAGCAUUUGAGUUUGAGUACUUUUUAUUUUUCACUAUCUUUUAUGUAGAUAGGGCCCGAGUAGGAUUUCAGAACGUUUUUACAUUUUUGCAUGACUACCUUGUUUAUGUUUUUAUAAAUGAAUUUCUUGAACCGUAUGCUUUUAAUAAAAUUUUUAGACUUAAA
This is a long non-coding RNA of Cucumis melo (muskmelon), 1340 nucleotides long. RefSeq lists it as uncharacterized. The record is from RefSeq and is a predicted model, not a curated record. The transcript is spliced from 2 exons. NCBI's taxonomy places the organism in Eukaryota, Viridiplantae, Streptophyta, Magnoliopsida, Cucurbitales, Cucurbitaceae.